RNAcentral lists this transfer RNA (63 nucleotides) under Melanobaris laticollis. Its description in RNAcentral is "tRNA-His". The record is from RNAcentral. Lineage: Eukaryota; Metazoa; Arthropoda; Insecta; Coleoptera; Curculionidae.
AUCUAGAUAGUUUAUAAAAAAUAUUAAUUUGUGGAAUUAAAGAAAUAAAGUUUAUUUUAGAUA